Molecule: ribosomal RNA, 500 nt
Filed under: uncultured bacterium
Lineage: Bacteria
Description: partial 16S ribosomal RNA
Rfam family: Bacterial small subunit ribosomal RNA
Source: RNAcentral
AUUGAACGCUGGCGGCAGGCCUAACACAUGCAAGUCGAGCGGAUGACGGGAGCUUGCUCCUUGAUUCAGCGGCGGACGGGUGAGUAAUGCCUAGGAAUCUGCCUGGUAGUGGGGGGCAACGUUUCGAAAGGAACGCUAAUACCGCAUACGUCCUACGGGAGAAAGCAGGGGACCUUCGGGCCUUGCGCUAUCAGAUGAGCCUAGGUCGGAUUAGCUUGUUGGUGAGGUAAUGGCUCACCAAGGCGACGAUCCGUAACUGGUCUGAGAGGAUGGUCAGUCACACUGGAACUGAGACACGGUCCAGACUCCUACGGGAGGCAGCAGUGGGGAAUAUUGGACAAUGGGCGAAAGCCUGAUCCAGCCAUGCCGCGUGUGUGAAGAAGGUCUUCGGAUUGUAAAGCACUUUAAGUUGGGAGGAAGGGUUGUAGAUUAAUACUCUGCAAUUUUGACGUUACCGACAGAAUAAGCACCGGCUAACUCUGUGCCAGCAGCCGCGGUAA